This 688-nucleotide ribosomal RNA is filed under the name Escherichia coli. RNAcentral describes it as "partial 23S ribosomal RNA". It matches the Rfam family "Bacterial large subunit ribosomal RNA", at positions 541 to 1232 of the family's 2925-position model. The record is from RNAcentral. Lineage: Bacteria; Pseudomonadati; Pseudomonadota; Gammaproteobacteria; Enterobacterales; Enterobacteriaceae.
AAAAAGAACCUGAAACCGUGUACGUACAAGCAGUGGGAGCCUCUUAAUGGGGUGACUGCGUACCUUUUGUAUAAUGGGUCAGCGACUUAUAUUCUGUAGCAAGGUUAACCGAAUAGGGGAGCCGAAGGGAAACCGAGUCUUAACUGGGCGUUAAGUUGCAGGGUAUAGACCCGAAACCCGGUGAUCUAGCCAUGGGCAGGUUGAAGGUUGGGUAACACUAACUGGAGGACCGAACCGACUAAUGUUGAAAAAUUAGCGGAUGACUUGUGGCUGGGGGUGAAAGGCCAAUCAAACCGGGAGAUAGCUGGUUCUCCCCGAAAGCUAUUUAGGUAGCGCCUCGUGAAUUCAUCUCCGGGGGUAGAGCACUGUUUCGGCAAGGGGGUCAUCCCGACUUACCAACCCGAUGCAAACUGCGAAUACCGGAGAAUGUUAUCACGGGAGACACACGGCGGGUGCUAACGUCCGUCGUGAAGAGGGAAACAACCCAGACCGCCAGCUAAGGUCCCAAAGUCAUGGUUAAGUGGGAAACGAUGUGGGAAGGCCCAGACAGCCAGGAUGUUGGCUUAGAAGCAGCCAUCAUUAAAGAAAGCGUAAUAGCUCACUGGUCGAGUCGGCCUGCGCGGAAGAUGUAACGGGGCUAAACCAUGCACCGAAGCUGCGGCAGCGACACUAUGUGUUGUUGGGUAGG